RNAcentral lists this ribosomal RNA (485 nucleotides) under uncultured bacterium. RNAcentral describes it as "bacterial SSU rRNA". It matches the Rfam family "Bacterial small subunit ribosomal RNA", at positions 30 to 506 of the family's 1533-position model. The record is from RNAcentral.
AUUGAACGCUGGCGGCAUGCUUUACACAUGCAAGUCGAACGGCAGCACAGGGAGUUUGCUCCCGGGUGGCGAGUGGCGCACGGGUGAGUAAUACAUCGGAACGUGUCCUGUUGUGGGGGAUAACUGCUCGAAAGGGUGGCUAAUACCGCAUGAGACCUGAGGGUGAAAGCGGGGGAUCGCAAGACCUCGCGCAAUUGGAGCGGCCGAUGCCCGAUUAGCUAGUUGGUGAGGUAAAGGCUCACCAAGGCGACGAUCGGUAGCUGGUCUGAGAGGACGACCAGCCACACUGGGACUGAGACACGGCCCAGACUCCUACGGGAGGCAGCAGUGGGGAAUUUUGGACAAUGGGGGCAACCCUGAUCCAGCCAUGCCGCGUGCAGGAUGAAGGCCUUCGGGUUGUAAACUGCUUUGUCAGGGACGAAAGGACCGUGUUAAUACCAUGGUCUGCUGACGGUACCUGAAGAAUAAGCACCGGCUAACUACGU